This 305-nucleotide ribosomal RNA is filed under the name uncultured bacterium. Its description in RNAcentral is "bacterial SSU rRNA". It matches the Rfam family "Bacterial small subunit ribosomal RNA", at positions 28 to 337 of the family's 1533-position model. The record is from RNAcentral.
GAUGAACGCUAGCGGCAGGCUUAACACAUGCAAGUCGAGGGGUAUAGUAGCAAUACUAGAGACCGGCGCACGGGUGCGUAACGCGUAUGCAAUCUACCUUUUACAGAGGGAUAGCCCCAGAGAAAUUUGGAUUAAUACCUCAUAGCAUUGCGAGAUGGCAUCAUUUUGCAAUUAAAGUCACAACGGUAAAAGAUGAGCAUGCGUCCCAUUAGCUAGUUGGUAAGGUAACGGCUUACCAAGGCAACGAUGGGUAGGGGUCCUGAGAGGGAGAUCCCCCACACUGGUACUGAGACACGGACCAGACU